UCCAGAUAUUGCACCACGUGUUUUACUGCACAAGUGCACGGGGUGUAGUCGUCGCUGGGCCCGUCAGUCCGUCUGUGGCGACCGUAAGAAGACAUAUUUAAGUGCUUGGAGACCGCCACAGCAGCAACAGCAGCGGCAGUUUGCAGGUCUUCGGGCGUCUUGAGGAUCGUGUGCUGGACCUCGUCUCGAGCCUCUUCAAGACCGUACUCAAGAAUCCUGCC
Non-coding RNA from Procambarus clarkii (red swamp crayfish), 221 nucleotides. NCBI's taxonomy places the organism in Eukaryota, Metazoa, Arthropoda, Malacostraca, Decapoda, Cambaridae. The record is from RefSeq and is a predicted model, not a curated record.